RNAcentral lists this ribosomal RNA (867 nucleotides) under Diptilomiopus nobilus. RNAcentral's name for it is "partial large subunit ribosomal RNA". It matches the Rfam family "Eukaryotic large subunit ribosomal RNA", at positions 366 to 944 of the family's 3401-position model. Lineage: Eukaryota; Metazoa; Arthropoda; Arachnida; Trombidiformes; Diptilomiopidae. RNAcentral also lists the same sequence under 1 other name. The record is from RNAcentral.
AAAUAGUACUUUGCAGAGAGAGUUAACAGGGCGUGAAACCGUUAAUUGGCAAACGAAUCGGAGCCACGAAGUCGUUUCGCUGAGUUGGGUUGAGUUCAGCCUAGAACCCUGGUUCUAGGUGUAUUCUUGGCCCGACCGUUGUAAGCGUACACUGCAACCAGUUAGACGAUUGAGGAUGGGCCCAGUCAAAUGCUCAAGUUAGAAGUAGUAUGGUACAUUUCGGUGUAUUCGUAUUGCUGGGCUUGUGGCAGGUGAACUAUCCUCAAAUACUGACUGGCAAAAUGAAAAUCGCGAGAGCGUUUUACAAAGUGCAGCUAAGUGUAUUGUUGCCUACGCAGCUGACCAUGGGGUCCUAAGCUCGGCAUUCUUGAAUUUAGGCUUGCUUGCUACCAGUGGGGCAACUCCUGGUGCUUGUAUAGAUCUAUCUAAUCGGGUGUUGACUUGAUUCUGUGUCGUUCAGUUGUGCUUUGAUAGGGUAGCCAUAUAACUUGGUUUGCAAUUAUUGGCAGUGAGUAGGUCGGCUUUCCGAACGACCCGUCUUGAAACACGGACCAAGGAGUCUAAUUAGGCAUCAAGUCGAUCGGUCUUGAAUAGGCCAGACUUGGGGUCUCCCCCAGAUUGAAGGCGUAGAGACAAUCAUGUGAUCGUUUGGGCAAUCCAGUCCUUACGCGCAACAUGUGCCUGUUCGUAUAGCAAUGUAGCAAUAAUUGCUGAGCGGAGCAAAGAGAUGUCUGAUUGGUACCCGAAAGAUGGUGAUGCCUGGGCAAGUUGAAGCCAGAGGAAACUCUGGUGGAGGACUGUAGCGAUUCUGACGUGCAAAUCGAUCGUCAGACCUGGGUAUAGGGGCGAAAGACUAAUCGAACCAUC